This 344-nucleotide long non-coding RNA is filed under the name Gallus gallus (chicken). Lineage: Eukaryota; Metazoa; Chordata; Aves; Galliformes; Phasianidae. The record is from RNAcentral.
UUCCUCCAUCUCUCUACCAAAGUAGAAACAACCUGCAAAAAUAUUACCACUGUGUAUCAAGAAAUAGGAAAAGAGCAGGUAUUUUGAAAUGAAGCACAGCUUACCACUGUCUUUGCCUUUUACAAAUUCUUCCCAUUCUCUGAACCACUGCAUACUGAUGCAGUAAAAAGUUGAUGGAGAUUCUUCUUCUUGGAAUGCCCUAUAAAGCCGAAUAAACAUCUCCAAUUCAUUUUUCCUUCUUUUUUCAAGUCUUUCAGACUCUAUUUGGCAGGUAUGACAAACAUACAGAUGGUUAACCGCUGGUCCUCCUCCAUACCUGCUAUACAGAUUAUCCCAUAUAUUUU